UUGUCCCUGCUGUGUUCGUGACCAGGUCAUAUAUUCUCUGAACCAAUGCUUAUGGCAUACAUAGGCUGCGAGCUUGUUGAGUGGGCAUGUUCGUCUCUUGUCAGACGAACUCGAAAUCAACACAACGUGGCCGACUUGAACCUUAGGUUCGAGAUGCCGACCUGAACGGCACAAGCGGGGCAAUU
RNAcentral lists this non-coding RNA (185 nucleotides) under Alcaligenaceae bacterium. RNAcentral describes it as "6S RNA". It matches the Rfam family "6S / SsrS RNA". Rfam says of the family: E. coli 6S RNA was the first non coding RNA to be sequenced, but its function was unknown until recently. It consists of 184 nucleotides that fold into an extended hairpin structure with a large single-stranded internal bulge. The 6S RNA specifically associates with RNA polymerase holoenzyme containing the sigma70 specificity factor. The record is from RNAcentral. RNAcentral also lists the same sequence under 1 other name. Lineage: Bacteria; Pseudomonadati; Pseudomonadota; Betaproteobacteria; Burkholderiales; Alcaligenaceae.